GAUGAACGCUGGCGGCGUGCCUAAUACAUGCAAGUCGAGCGAACAGAUGAGGCGCUUGCUCCUCUGACGUUAGCGGCGGACGGGUGAGUAACACGUGUAUCACCUACCUAUAAGACUGGGAUCACUUCGGGAAACCGGCGCUAAUCCCGGAUAAUAUAUUGAACCGCAUGGUUCGAUAGUGAAAGACGGUUUUGCUGUCACUUCUCGAUGGAUCCGCGCCGCAUUAGCUAGUUGGUAAGGUAACGGCUUACCAAGGCAACGAUGCGUAGCCGACCUAAGAGGGGGAUCGGCCACACUGGAACGGAGACACGGUCCAGACUCCUACGGGAGGCAGCAGUAGGGAAUCUGACGCAAUGGGCGAAAGCCUGACGGAGCAACGCGGCGUGAGUGAUGAAGGUCUUCGGAUCGUAAAACUCGGUUAUUAGUGAAGAACAAAUGUGUAAGUAACUAUGCACGGAGUGACGGUACCUAAUCAGAAAGCCACGGCUAACUACGUG
This 497-nucleotide ribosomal RNA is filed under the name uncultured bacterium. Its description in RNAcentral is "partial 16S ribosomal RNA". It matches the Rfam family "Bacterial small subunit ribosomal RNA", at positions 28 to 507 of the family's 1533-position model. The record is from RNAcentral.